This is a long non-coding RNA of Camelus dromedarius (Arabian camel), 834 nucleotides long. RefSeq lists it as uncharacterized. The record is from RefSeq and is a predicted model, not a curated record. The transcript is spliced from 4 exons. NCBI's taxonomy places the organism in Eukaryota, Metazoa, Chordata, Mammalia, Artiodactyla, Camelidae.
AACAAUGCACGUAAAACUUCCUAUAUCAGUGUAAUUUCUGCUGUAGGUUUUUAAUAUGUAAUUUUUCCAGGUAAAGAAAUUUUCCUAAGAAUUAUUUUUAACCAGAAUUAUAUACUGAACUUCAUUGAAUGCUGUAGUGGGUUUCAUGGUGGCUCCCCCCAAAAUAUGUCCAUAUCUUUAAUACCUGAAUCCUCUAUGUAUUACUUUAUUUUGAAAAAUAGUCUUUUCAGAUGUAAUUACAUUAAUGAUCUGAAGAUAAGAACAUCCUGGAUUACUGAGGUGAACCCUAAAUACAAAAGCAAGUGUCCUUAUAAGAGACAGAAGAAAACACAGAGAAGAGGAGAGAUCUAUGUGAAGCUGGAGGAAGUGGUCGAAGUGAUACAGCCAUAAGGAAUGCUGACAGAUGCCAGAAGCUGGAAGAGGCAGAGAAUUCAUACUGUUGAUAAAUUAUUAUGAAUGAAUGGAGUAAAGCAAAGCCUUUAUGUGUGGACAAGUUACUCAAGAUCGGAGAACUCAUACAGGUUACUACAAGAAUUGAAUAUAAUUCCCUGCACUGUACAGUAGAAACUUCUUGAUUAUCUAUUUUAUACGUAGUAAUUAGUAUCUGCAGAUCUCAAGCUUCCAAUUCAUCCCUUCCCAUCAUCUUCCCCCCAGUAACUUGUGACAAUCUCCAGGUCCAUCCAUGUUGCUGCAAAUGGUAUUAUUUUAUUCUUUUUUAUGGCUGAGUAGUAUUCCAUUGUAUAAAUAUACCAAACUUCUUUAUCCAUUCAUCUGUUGAUGGACAUUUAGGUUGUUUCCAUGUCUUGACUAUUGUAAAUAGUGCUGCUAUGAACA